Long non-coding RNA from Leucoraja erinaceus (little skate), 744 nucleotides. RefSeq lists it as uncharacterized. Lineage: Eukaryota; Metazoa; Chordata; Chondrichthyes; Rajiformes; Rajidae. The transcript has 3 exons. The record is from RefSeq and is a predicted model, not a curated record.
AAAGAAUGUUGCAUAGUGGUUUUGGAAAUGGAGGGGGGUAAAGGGGGCUGCAUUGAUCUGGGUUGCCGAAGAGUUACUAUAAUGGUGGAAAAGUGUGCCGUGGGACUAUGGAGGGAAACGCUGAAAGGGAAAGGGAGGGAAUAUAGUGUUUGGUGGUCGGAGCAUCAUGCCAGCGAUGUCUGAUAUGGUGCAAGAUGAUUCGUUGAAUGUGAAGACCGGCAGAGAGUGAGAACGUUUGUUGGGAAAGCCUAUCUGAUUUGAAAAUCUGCUAAAAUAUUACAAAGUCGUGGACCGAUGUAACUGAGCACGGAGCAAGCACUCCACCGAUCGACACCUUAAAACUCUGCGACGAGUCCCCGGGGAUUGGCAUGGAUGGGUGCGAAUCUAGAGCAUGGGGAAUGUCAGAGAUCCAGUGGUAACGACCAGCUGCUAUUCGUCAGAACCGCGCUCUCUCAGAAGAUCCAUUAUAAUCUCCACUCAUCGAUCUGCACUUUCGUCUCAUUUUACACCGAAUCCCUUCAGUCAAUCAGCCUCCAACAGCACCCGAAAGCUCACAGCAGAUAAUCUGAAAAUCGUGACCAACGCUAAUCUUCUGACACGUUUUGUGGCGUUUAAAUGUUUAAUUUAUGUUUUUCUGUCGUGGAUAAUUGGGGUAUUUAUUUUUAGACUCCUCGUCUUUGGAUUUAAUGUUGAACAAGGGUACCGUUGCUGUCACUUAUUCAUUCAAAUAAAUGACACGUUAAA